GGGAGAACGCUGGCGGCGUGCCUAUACAUGCAAGUCGAACGCUUCUUUUUCCACCGGAGCUUGCUCCACCGGAAAAAGAGGAGUGGCGAACGGGUGAGUAACACGUGGGUAACCUGCCCAUCAGAAGGGGAUAACACUUGGAAACAGGUGCUAAUACCGUAUAACAAUCGAAACCGCAUGGUUUUGAUUUGAAAGGCGCUUUCGGGUGUCGCUGAUGGAUGGACCCGCGGUGCAUUAGCUAGUUGGUGAGGUAACGGCUCACCAAGGCGACGAUGCAUAGCCGACCUGAGAGGGUGAUCGGCCACAUUGGGACUGAGACACGGCCCAAACUCCUACGGGAGGCAGCAGUAGGGAAUCUUCGGCAAUGGACGAAAGUCUGACCGAGCAACGCCGCGUGAGUGAAGAAGGUUUUCGGAUCGUAAAACUCUGUUGUUAGAGAAGAACAAGGAUGAGAGUAACUGUUCAUCCCUUGACGGUAUCUAACCAGAAAGCCACGGCUAACUACGUGCCAGCAGCCGCGGUAAUACGUAGGUGGCAAGCGUUGUCCGGAUUUAUUGGGCGUAAAGCGAGCGCAGGCGGUUUCUUAAGUCUGAUGUGAAAGCCCCCGGCUCAACCGGGGAGGGUCAUUGGAAACUGGGAGACUUGAGUGCAGAAGAGGAGAGUGGAAUUCCAUGUGUAGCGGUGAAAUGCGUAGAUAUAUGGAGGAACACCAGUGGCGAAGGCGGCUCUCUGGUCUGUAACUGACGCUGAGGCUCGAAAGCGUGGGGAGCAAACAGGAUUAGAUACCCUGGUAGUCCACGCCGUAAACGAUGAGUGCUAAGUGUUGGAGGGUUUCCGCCCUUCAGUGCUGCAGCUAACGCAUUAAGCACUCCGCCUGGGGAGUACGACCGCAAGGUUGAAACUCAAAGGAAUUGACGGGGGCCCGCACAAGCGGUGGAGCAUGUGGUUUAAUUCGAAGCAACGCGAAGAACCUUACCAGGUCUUGACA
Molecule: ribosomal RNA, 988 nt
Filed under: Enterococcus hirae
Lineage: Bacteria; Bacillati; Bacillota; Bacilli; Lactobacillales; Enterococcaceae
Description: bacterial SSU rRNA
Rfam family: Bacterial small subunit ribosomal RNA
Source: RNAcentral